CGAUUCGAUUAUUUUAAUACAUUCGAUAUAUUAUUCGCAUACAAAGUAGAAAAUAUUUUUCCGUCGUUACUUGGAUUUCUAUUAUACGUAAAAUCCUUAAAAUCAUACAUGAAUUAUGACUGAAUCUGUACGGUUAACUAAUGAUGACUUUCGUAAGCUCUUGGCUACACCGCGGCAACCACCGCCAGGUAGUACUCCUUCACUAAAUGCAGCGGCAGCUACGUCGUCUUCAACCGAAAAGAAAAAAACGCAAGGUUCAAGCAGUGAACGCAAUGAUUUACGCCGAAAAAAGAAAAAUUUCUAUGCAGCUCUUAAAAAACAAGAGGAUGGCAAGUUGCAACAGCUCUCGGAAAAAUAUCGUGACCGAGCGCGUGAACGACGUGAUGGUGCCAAUCCGGACUACCAAAAUGUUAGUACGCCUGGUCACAGUAGCACAAAUGCGUAUCGUGCUGUUGCUCCAGAUUUGAAAUCAGGCAUUGAUGCGGCUGAGCGUCGUCGUAGAAUUAUACAGGAGUCGAAAUUCUUGGGUGGUGAUAUGCGUCAUACUCACUUGGUGAAAGGUCUUGAUUAUGCGCUCUUGCAAAAGGUUCGUUCUGAAUUGCAAAGUAAAGAGGUUGAGGAACAGGCUCUGGCGGUUGCGGCAGCAACGGAAAAAUUGGCCGAAACCGCUGCUGCUGAACAGGCUGAGGCGGAUGCCAAAGAUGCAGAUGAUCAUAUGACUAUUAAAAGUGCUUUGGCUCGUAACAUUUUUAGUUUAGUUCAAACGCGUCGAUCAAAAGAUAUUCCACGCAUUGAGCUGUUCGCUCCCGGCCGCAUGGCUUACGUUAUUGAUUUAGAAGAUGAUUUGGGGGAAACCGAUAUACCAACAACGUUAAUACGUUCAAAAUUUGAAGUACCCGUCAAUCGAGAAGACAUUGCCACACUAACUACUAAUGAUAUUGUUAUAAAUAAACUGUCACAGAUUCUUUCUUACUUACGCGCAGGUGGACGCAAUAAGAAAAACAAGAAACGUGACAAAGACAAGCCGCUUUUCUAUGAAAAAGAAAUGGAACAGUCUUUGAAUAUGCUCGAAGUAGGAGUAAAUGUGGGUACCAACUUAUCUGAUAAAGCUGCGGGUGAUAACAUCUAUGACGAUAUUGGAGACUAUCAACCAAGUACCAAGAAUGAAGGUUCAAAAUUGGUUAAAAAUAACUCAAAAAGUGCAACUGGUUCUUAUUUCGGCGAUGUAAAAGGAGUCGAGGACACAGACCCUCUGAUUACUAAUAUACCACCACCACCUAAAAUCACAAAAACGGUAACCUCGCGCUUUGCUAACGAACCUGAGGGGUAUGCCGAGUGUUAUCCAGGAUUAGAGGAAAUGAAUGACGCUAUAGAUGAUUCAGACGACGAAGUAGACUAUACUAAAAUGGAUUUGGGCAAUAAAAAGGGACCGAUUGGGCGUUGGGAUUUCGAUACACAAGAAGAGUAUUCAGAUUAUAUGAGCACCAAAGAGGCUUUGCCCAAAGCAGCAUUUCAGUAUGGAGUUAAAAUGCAAGACGGAAGACGAACUCGCAAAAACAAAACCGAAAAGAGCGAAAAAGCAGAAUUGGAUCGAGAAUGGCAGAAAAUACAGAAUAUUAUACAAAAACGAAAAUUCCCUAAAGGAAGUGCAGAAGAGCCUGAUUACAAAGCUGCUAAAUAUUAGUUUAAAAAUCAAACAAUACCAAAUGUAUAUGCGUUUAACAGAUUUAGAGAAGUGCACAGACUUUGCUGUUUUAUUAAUUUAUAAUAAAUCUUAUCGGGCACCGCUGUUGUUUGUUUACAACUGUGAAAAGUGCCGAAAAUCUGCUUUGUAAUAUAGUAAAAAAAAGUUGGAUCAUGUGAAAAACAUAUUACUAAUUAAUUCUGCGUUAAAUCUAGUACUAACUUCACAGCUUAGAAAUUUCGCCAGCAACAUGCAUUUGGCUUGCAGUGAAAUGUUGCUAGCAACAUUAAUUGCUUAAUGAGAAGAAACGUCAAAUUUGUAAGCAUCGCCUCAGAAUCAACGGGCAACAGUUGGCUCAAAAACUACUGGACCGAUUUUAAAAAUUCUUUCACCAUUCGAAAGCUACAUCAUCCACGAGUAACAUGGAUUAUAACGGG
This is an RNA transcript of Anastrepha ludens (Mexican fruit fly), 2121 nucleotides long. It is a transcript of the gene named protein Red, with no coding region annotated. The transcript has 4 exons. NCBI's taxonomy places the organism in Eukaryota, Metazoa, Arthropoda, Insecta, Diptera, Tephritidae. The record is from RefSeq and is a predicted model, not a curated record.